CGUACACUCCUGCGGGAGGCAGCAGUGGGGAAUAUUGGACAAUGGGCGCAAGCCUGAUCCAGCCAUGCCGCGUGAGUGAUGAAGGCCCUAGGGUUGUAAAGCUCUUUCACCGGUGAAGAUAAUGACGGUAACCGGAGAAGAAGCCCCGGCUAACUUCGUGCCAGCAGCCGCGGUAAUACGAAGGGGGCUAGCGUUGUUCGGAUUUACUGGGCGUAAAGCGCACGUAGGCGGACUAUUAAGUCAGGGGUGAAAUCCCGGGGCUCAACCCCGGAACUGCCUUUGAUACUGGUAGUCUUGAGUUCGAGAGAGGUGAGUGGAAUUCCGAGUGUAGAGGUGAAAUUCGUAGAUAUUCGGAGGAACACCAGUGGCGAAGGCGGCUCACUGGCUCGAUACUGACGCUGAGGUGCGAAAGCGUGGGGAGCAAACAGGAUUAGAAACCCCGGUAGUCCCAUGAU
Molecule: ribosomal RNA, 455 nt
Filed under: uncultured organism
Description: partial 16S ribosomal RNA
Rfam family: Bacterial small subunit ribosomal RNA
Source: RNAcentral